UCGAGCGGACAGAAGGGAGCUUGCUCCCGGAUGUUAGCGGCGGACGGGUGAGUAACACGUGGGUAACCUGCCUGUAAGACUGGGAUAACUCCGGGAAACCGGAGCUAAUACCGGAUAGUUCCUUGAACCGCAUGGUUCAAGGAUGAAAGACGGUUUCGGCUGUCACUUACAGAUGGACCCGCGGCGCAUUAGCUAGUUGGUGGGGUAAUGGCUCACCAAGGCGACGAUGCGUAGCCGACCUGAGAGGGUGAUCGGCCACACUGGGACUGAGACACGGCCCAGACUCCUACGGGAGGCAGCAGUAGGGAAUCUUCCGCAAUGGACGAAAGUCUGACGGAGCAACGCCGCGUGAGUGAUGAAGGUUUUCGGAUCGUAAAGCUCUGUUGUUAGGGAAGAACAAGUGCGAGAGUAACUGCUCGCACCUUGACGGUACCUAACCAGAAAGCCACGGCUAACUACGUGCCAGCAGCCGCGGUAAUACGUAGGUGGCAAGCGUUGU
This 499-nucleotide ribosomal RNA is filed under the name Bacillus sp. (in: firmicutes). Its description in RNAcentral is "bacterial SSU rRNA". It matches the Rfam family "Bacterial small subunit ribosomal RNA", at positions 62 to 544 of the family's 1533-position model. Lineage: Bacteria; Bacillati; Bacillota; Bacilli; Caryophanales; Bacillaceae. The record is from RNAcentral.